AUGGGAACGCGAAGAACCUUACCUAGACUUGACAUCCCCUGAAUAACGUAGAGAUACGCGAAGCCCUUCGGGCAGGGAGACAGGUGGUGCAUGGUUGUCGUCAGCUCGUGUCGUGAGAUGUUGGGUUAAGUCCCGCAACGAGCGCAACCCUUAUCAUUAGUUGCUACCAUUUAGUUGAGCACUCUAGUGAGACUGCCCGGGUUAACCGGGAGGAAGGUGGGGAUGACGUCAAAUCAUCAUGCCCCUUAUGUCUGGGGCUACACACGUGCUACAAUGGUGGGAACAAAGAGAUGCAAGACCGCGAGGUGGAGCCAAACUCAAAAACCCAUCCCAGUUCGGAUUGUAGGCUGAAACUCGCCUACAUGAAGCUGGAGUUGCUAGUAAUCGCGAAUCAGAAUGUCGCGGUG
This 407-nucleotide ribosomal RNA is filed under the name uncultured bacterium. Its description in RNAcentral is "bacterial SSU rRNA". It matches the Rfam family "Bacterial small subunit ribosomal RNA", at positions 954 to 1364 of the family's 1533-position model. The record is from RNAcentral.